ACAGAGGGUGCAAGCGUUGUUCGGAAUUAUUGGGCGUAAAGCGCGUGUAGGCUGCGACGUAUGUCGGGUGUGAAAGCCCUCGGCUCAACUGAGGAAGUGCGCCCGAAACUACGUUGCUCGAGUGCUGGAGAGGGUAGCGGAAUUCCCGGUGUAGAGGUGAAAUUCGUAGAUAUCGGGAGGAACACCAGUGGCGAAGGCGGCUACCUGGACGGACACUGACGCUGAGACGCGAAAGCGUGGGGAGCAAACAG
This 251-nucleotide ribosomal RNA is filed under the name uncultured prokaryote. RNAcentral describes it as "partial 16S ribosomal RNA". It matches the Rfam family "Bacterial small subunit ribosomal RNA", at positions 525 to 775 of the family's 1533-position model. The record is from RNAcentral.